This 379-nucleotide ribosomal RNA is filed under the name uncultured organism. RNAcentral describes it as "bacterial SSU rRNA". It matches the Rfam family "Bacterial small subunit ribosomal RNA", at positions 526 to 896 of the family's 1533-position model. The record is from RNAcentral.
CGUACCGUCCAUACGUUAUUCGGAAUUACGUGGGCUUUAAAGGGUAUGUAGGCGGCGCUGUUAGUCGGGUGUGAAAUCCCAGGGCUCAACCCUGGAACUGCGCCCGAUACUGCAGUGCUUGAGGGAGACAGAGGUAAGCGGAACUGAUGGUGGAGCGGUGAAAUGCGUUGAUAUCAUCAGGAACACCGGUGGCGAAAGCGGCUUACUGGGUCUCUUCUGACGCUGAGAUACGAAAGCGUAGGGGAGCGGAAGGGGAUUAGACUACCCCCGUAGUCCUAGCCGUAAACUCUGUGCACUCGAUCGGACGGGCCCCCCCAUAGGCUCUCGGUCGUAGCGAAAGUGUUAAGUGCACCGCCUGGGGAGUAUGGUCGCAAGGCUG